RNAcentral lists this ribosomal RNA (1237 nucleotides) under metagenome. RNAcentral's name for it is "SSU rRNA". It matches the Rfam family "Eukaryotic small subunit ribosomal RNA", at positions 528 to 1790 of the family's 1831-position model. The record is from RNAcentral.
AAUCCGUUAACGAGGAACAAUUGGAGGGCAAGUCUGGUGCCAGCAGCCGCGGUAAUUCCAGCUCCAAUAGCGUAUAUUAAAGUUGUUGCAGUUAAAAAGCUCGUAGUUGAACUUCAGACCUGACCGGGCGGUCCGCCUAACGGUGUGUACUGUCUGGCCGGGCCUUACCUCUUGGUGAGCCGGCAUGCCCUUCACUGGGUGUGUCGGGGAACCAGGACCUUUACCUUGAGAAAAUUAGAGUGUUCAAAGCAGGCUUACGCCGGAAUACAUUAGCAUGGAAUAAUAAAAUAGGACGUGCGGUUCUAUUUUGUUGGUUUCUAGAGUCGCCGUAAUGAUUAAUAGGGAUAGUUGGGGGCAUUUGUAUUGCGUUGCUAGAGGUGAAAUUCUUGGAUUUACGCAAGACAAACUAUUGCGAAAGCAUUUGCCAAGGAUGUUUUCAUUAAUCAAGAACGAAGGUUAGGGGAUCGAAAACGAUCAGAUACCGUUGUAGUCUUAACAGUAAACUAUGCCGACUAGGGAUCGGACGACCUCAAUAUUAUGCGUCGUUCGGCACCUUACGAGAAAUCAAAGUCUUUGGGUUCUGGGGAGUAUGGUCGCAAGGCUGAAACUUAAAGGAAUUGACGGAAGGGCACCACCAGGAGUGGAGCCUGCGGCUUAAUUUGACCCAACACGGGGAAACUCACCAGGUCCAGACAUAACUAGGAUUGACAGAUUGAUAGCUCUUUCUUGAUUUUAUGGGUGGUGGUGCAUGGCCGUUCUUAGUUGGUGGAGUGAUUUGUCUGGUUAAUUCCGAUAACGAACGAGACCUUAACCUGCUAAAUAGCCUGGCCGGCUUUUGCUGGUCACUGGCUUCUUAGAGGGACUGUCAGCGUCUAGCUGACGGAAGUUUGAGGCAAUAACAGGUCUGUGAUGCCCUUAGAUGUUCUGGGCCGCACGCGCGCUACACUGACAGAGCCAGCGAGCUUUUUUUCCUUGGCCGGAAGGUCAUGGGUAAUCUUGUGAAACUCUGUCGUGCUGGGGAUAGAGCAUUGCAAUUACUGCUCUUCAACGAGGAAUUCCUAGUAAGCGUGAGUCAUCAGCUCGCGUUGAUUACGUCCCUGCCCUUUGUACACACCGCCCGUCGCUACUACCGAUUGAAUGGCUUAGUGAGACCUCCGGAUUGGCUUUGGGGAGUCGGCAACGACACCCCGUUGCUGAAAAGUUGGUCAAACUUGGUCAUUUAGAGGAAGUAAAAGUC